Carassius auratus (goldfish) is the source of this 2177-nucleotide long non-coding RNA. Lineage: Eukaryota; Metazoa; Chordata; Actinopteri; Cypriniformes; Cyprinidae. The record is from Ensembl.
AUAUAUAUAUAUAUAUAUAUAUAUAUAUAUAUAUAUAUAUACACAUAUAUAUAUAUAUAUAUAUAUAUAUACACACAUAUAUAUAUACACAUAUAUAUAUAUAUAUAUAUAUAUAUAUAUACACACACACACGCACGCACGCACGCACACACACACACACACACACACACACACACACACACACACACACCACUGUUAAAAUGUUUGGAAUUUUUGGGGUAAUUACAUUUUUUAGCAAGGAUGCAUUAAAUUGAUGUGAUGAAAAGUAAAGGCUUUUUACAUUGUUAUACAAAUUCUAUUUCAAAUAAAUUCUGUUUAACUUCACCAAUAGAUGAAAAAAAAUAUAUUUUUGUUCCACAAAAAUAUUAAGCAGCACUGUUUGUAAUAUUGAUUAAGUAAUGUUUCUUCAGUAUAUCAGAAGGAUUUCUGAAGGAUCAUGACGGAGUAAUGCUGAAGAAUGGAGUAAUGCUGAAAAUUCAGUGUUACAAUCACAGGUAUAAUUUUUGAUCAAAUAAAUGCAGCCUAGAUGAGCAUAAGAAUAUAUAUACUUAAAAAAUCAUUAAAACAUUGAAAAAAACAAUCAUUUGAGCUGUAGUUUAUAACACGUACUGCAUGCCAACUAUUAAUAUUUUGUCUCUUUUCAGGGAGUUUUCAAAGAACCUAUCUGCAACCUGUCAAUCAAACAGAUAGCUCCGCCUCAAACUCACGCUAUUGGAUGAAUGUUGCUCUGUCAGUCAUGCAUCACAGCCAAGAGUCUAAACAGAUGUGACUGAUCACCAGAAUGUUAAAGAGUGUGUCUCGGGUUCCAGGGAAGCAAGAGAACGUUAUGAAAUGUGACUGGGGGCUGGGAGUGUAUCUCUGCUGUGCUGACCAUGUGUGCGGCUUCAGGCGGCUGCUCCCUGUGAAGCAUUUCAUUGGAAACGCACGGGGCCUCAGUUAUCAUCUGUUGAAAGGAUUACAAGCUCCACACAGUCUGGUGCAAAACAAUUUGCAACUGCUUUCAUUCAGAGGAAGGCCUCAAAAACAUUUUCCCGUACAUCAGUAGUGCAACGACCAAGGUUAGCCUACUGAUAACACAGAAACAUUCUUGGAAAAUGUCAAAACCCCAAUAACAAUAUACUAUAUUAUUUACACAAGCUAGACUAACAACCUUCCUUCACCUCUGCUUGUCCUUUCUUUUCAAUGGAUAUAUAGUACAAUGGUAACCGCCCACUGUUUUAUAGUGGCUGUGGUAUUUUUUCACAUUAAAUUUUCUCCAUUAUGAUUUAAAAACAAAACAAAACAAAAAAUCUACAUUUAAAAUAAUAAUAAUCUUAAUAAUUAAAUUAAUUAAUGAGGUAAUUAACUACUCAUCCCAUGAAACAUAGUAAAUGACAUAAUAGAUCAAAGUAAUAGUAUUAAAUAAAAAUAGGUUUAUACUCGUUCAUUAUAAGUAUUAGAAAAAUAUAUUUUGAUAUAGUUUAUUAUAAAAUUCAAAGAGUUGGUAUGUCGGUUAGAGUUUGUAAUGUGCUUUAAAGUCUUUUCUGCUCACCAAGGCUGCAUUUAUUUGAUUAAAAAAUACAGUAAAAGCAAGAAUAUUGUGAAAUAUUAUUACAAUUUAAAAUAACCAUUUUCUAUUUGAAUAUAUUUUAAAAGGUAAUUUAUUACUGUGAUCAAAGCUGAAUUUUAAGUAUGACUAUUUUCCAAUCCAAUUUUAAAGCAACAUUUUAGCAAAGGCUCAUUUUCAAAGUCUCCUAGAGUUACUGUAAACGGUUGAGUUUUACUGUUUUCGAAUCCAUUCAGCCGAUCUCUGGGUCUGGUGGUAGCACUUUUAGCUUAACUUAGCAUAGAUCAUUGAUUCUGAUUAGACCGUUAGCAUCUCACUCAAAAAUGACUAAAGAGUUUCGAUAUAAUUCCUAUUUAAAACUCGGCUGUGUGUGUGUGUGUGUACAAAUAAACAAGUUUUUAAUAUUAUAUAAUAUAUUUAAUAUUAUGUUUUAAUAAACAUUAUUUCUUAUUAUUAUUAAUGUUGAAAACACUUGUUAAGUGUUUAAUAUUUGUGGAAACUGUGAUACAUUUCAAGUCUUUGAUGAAGAGAAAGUUAAAAAUAGCAACAUUUAUUUGAAAUUGUGAUCUUUUGUAGUGUAAAUAUCCUUAUAAAUAAAGAAUUAUAAAUAAAUGCCACUUUGAUAAUUUAA